CCCUGAUCCAGCCUGUCUCCUCUGCAGAACUCCCGGAGCAAGAGGUGACCUCCAGGGACCCUUCCCCCUCUGACCUCAGUCUGAGAACUUCUCCAGGAAGACUCCCACCCCACACCAGCCGCUGGCGGCGGGGCAGGACCUUACAACUAUGAACUUGAAGAACUUCAGUCAGCUCAAACGGCCCCUUGGAAUCACCCAGACUCAGCCUUCACUGACAGAUGGAGAAACUGAAGCCAGAGAAGGGAAACACUUGCCUAAGUUCUCCCAGCCUCGUGCGCUAAUCUAUACAGCAGGGUUGGGACUUCCUAGCCAAGGAAUGGGAGUUCUAGACCACACAGCUGAUGGGGUUUUCCUAUUCCCUAAGACACAACAAUAUCAAAACAAAGCCAAUUAAUAAUCCUACAAUGGCCUCUAAAUGCUCAGUGAAAGGAAGAGUCACAUCUCUCACUUUAAAUCAAAAG
RNAcentral lists this long non-coding RNA (461 nucleotides) under Homo sapiens (human). Its description in RNAcentral is "HSALNT0351796". The record is from RNAcentral. Lineage: Eukaryota; Metazoa; Chordata; Mammalia; Primates; Hominidae.